RNAcentral lists this ribosomal RNA (465 nucleotides) under Vreelandella stevensii. RNAcentral's name for it is "partial 16S ribosomal RNA". It matches the Rfam family "Bacterial small subunit ribosomal RNA", at positions 338 to 795 of the family's 1533-position model. The record is from RNAcentral. Lineage: Bacteria; Pseudomonadati; Pseudomonadota; Gammaproteobacteria; Oceanospirillales; Halomonadaceae.
CCUACGGGAGGCAGCAGUGGGGAAUAUUGGACAAUGGGGGCAACCCUGAUCCAGCCAUGCCGCGUGUGUGAAGAAGGCCCUCGGGUUGUAAAGCACUUUCAGUGAGGAAGAACGCCUGGUGGUUAAUACCCAUCAGGAAAGACAUCACUCACAGAAGAAGCACCGGCUAACUCCGUGCCAGCAGCCGCGGUAAUACGGAGGGUGCGAGCGUUAAUCGGAAUUACUGGGCGUAAAGCGCGCGUAGGUGGCUUGAUAAGCCGGUUGUGAAAGCCCCGGGCUCAACCUGGGAACGGCAUCCGGAACUGUCAAGCUAGAGUGCAGGAGAGGAAGGUAGAAUUCCCGGUGUAGCGGUGAAAUGCGUAGAGAUCGGGAGGAAUACCAGUGGCGAAGGCGGCCUUCUGGACUGACACUGCCACUGAGGUGCGAAAGCGUGGGUAGCAAACAGGAUUAGAUACCCGUGUAGUC